CACCUGAUCAGCCAACCAUGGGUUUAUAGUUGAUACUUGUUGGUCUCUGUGAGCUUUAUGCUUACUGACAGUCCCCGAGAAGGCUUGAGAAGCAGCUGUCCACAGUCACAGAGGAGUUAAACCUUCAUUAUGUCCAAACAAAGGAUUGUACGCCUGGAAUGUGGGAAACCUAACCAGGCAAUUUAUGUGGUGGGAACUGUGCUCAACAUCGACAUUUACAAGCCGGCACCUCUAGGAUCCCAGUUCUUUGAAGUGCGCUCCAGUCCUGGUGUCAAAUGUUCCAUUUUAGAUGUACAUAAUAUGACUGUUGCAGCUGAUCAGGCAGCAAGGUGGACCCUGAACAAUGGGACCUUGCUUGUGGUCACAAUGGAAGAAAUAAGCAAACAUGUUGAUGAUAA
Long non-coding RNA from Rhincodon typus (whale shark), 398 nucleotides. RefSeq lists it as uncharacterized. The transcript is spliced from 3 exons. The record is from RefSeq and is a predicted model, not a curated record. Lineage: Eukaryota; Metazoa; Chordata; Chondrichthyes; Orectolobiformes; Rhincodontidae.